AUGAAAUUGUUGGUGGCAACUCUUUUCCUUGUGACAAUGGUUCUAGGCGGGCCUUUGGGGUCUAUGUAUCCGGAAGGUCAAGUAGGGGACGAAAAGACUCGGGAGGUGCAACAACCAUUGGAGACGAUAGCUGUGGACAAAAUUGAUAAAACCGAAGACGUGGACCUUCUUAUCAAGUGCAAAAAGGAGUACAUUGAAGCUUGUUGCAAGGAUGGACACUACGUAGAUCCUUUGUACAUCCAAACCAAAAGAGGAUUCGAGAAAUGUUCAAGUUAUGGUGACUGUUGCACGAUCUAGGCGAAAGGAGACUUAGAAUAGUUUCAAUCAAAACCGAACAAUACUAGAAAAUGUUAAUUUAAUUAUUUUUGUGUGGCAUUUUUCUUAACAUCAAAAUAGGCAGAAACACUCGAUUUUUCUGCUGUUCAAGCUCAAUUCUUCUCCGUCAAAACUCAUGAUUUCAUUUGUUUGGUACGUUCCGUUUUGUAACGUACUUUGUAAAUAAAAUGAUUUAUACAAACCAUGUAAAAUACUAGACCGUCUGCUUAACUACAUCGUCAUUAUUACUAUAGCUCGACUUUAAAAGUUGUGUGUGAACUUUUAAGUGGAUUAGCAACUCCACCACCUUCGAGUUAGAUUGACUCCCUAACGAGAGUGUUCUAGAGUACCUGUAUACGGGAGAGUAUUGCCAUCUCUAUCCUUUUACUACAGGAAAAGUGUGCUGCUCUCUGAUUGGUCGGCUAUCGUGAAGCCCCAAAGUUGGAUCAAUGUAAACAAACCCCAGCCCCUACGCUCCUAGUUUGGCCGAGUGUAAACAAAAAGGAUGACGAAAAAGUUCUACAAAGUUCUAGACGUGAUUUGGGUGUGAUACACAUUUUUUUAUAUCCAACUUCUGAAUUAAGUUCGGAUCGAACUUCGAUGAAUAAAAUUGCCGAAAAUUAAGCUUUGAGUGUGAUUAUCAAUCAUUUCUCAGCCGAUAAUAAGUGUUCCUCUGGGUCGGGUUUGUUUACAUUGGUCCAACUUUAGAGCUUCAUGAUAGCCUGAAACUGAUAAACCAAUCAAAGAGCGGCAUAGAGAUGGCAAUACUCUCCCGUAUACAGGUACUCUAGGGUGUUCUCUACGUGUGGAAGAUUUGCGAUUUAGCCUACCAUCGCGGCAACGGCGCACGCACCUCGUCGCAUUCCCCCGUUAAUUUGUUCGGGGAAAAAAAGUGUUGAGAAGGUGAUAAUGGAGAGGCGGACCAGGCAGAGUUUGCAGGGCAUUUGCAUGCGCUGGAAAAAGGAGGUCGAGUUUGAGUUUUCACGGCGGAAACGGCGGCGAGACGCGGAGCGAGGGAGGGGGGGGGAGAAGAUUGAUUGAUUUAUCUUUUAAAUUGAGACCUACUCGCGGAAUGAAACACCUCUACUCUUCCUCGAGGCGAUUAGCGCCAGUCUCACAGAGCAGGAAAUUGAUUUUAUGAGAUCAGGAGAAUAUCCGAACGGGUUUGUAAUUAGUGUUCCGAUGUUUUGGUUUGAAGGUCCGGAAUGGGUUUUUGUUGAGACCAAGAAAAACUUCUGACUGUCAUACCGAUGGGACAGAGUGCCUUUGUAGACAGAGUAUGACCAUUCCUAGCUUUUUAGUGAGGGAAAGUUGUGCUGCUUUGUGACAGGGUGGAAAAAAUUCAUGAAAAAUAAAAUCUUGACAUUUCACGUGGAAUAUUUCAUGAAAUAAAAUCUUGAAAUUUCACGUGAAAUAUUCCAUGAAAUAUCAGAAAUUUACGGAAGAUAUUGAAAAUACCGGUUUCUUUCCAGGUUUCGCAAAAUGUAAAAUUUGGGACUUUCUUCUAUUUUUGUGUGUUUUAGUGCGGGUUGCAUAGUCUAGCCCCUGGAAAAUAUGAAAUAUAUCACAGCCUCGUGAAAUUUCAUAGAAUAAUUCACUGAAAUUUCCAAUCUUUCAGUUCUCUCUUACGUUUCAUGCCACCCGUUUCACCCUGCUUUGUGACUUGUCUACAAGCCUUAAGCUAUAAUAAUGCCCUUGGGGCCGUAAAUAAACAAACGCUCCCGUUAAUCGAUAUUAACCGGAAUAAAAGGGAGGAUAUCGAUCUCUGUUUAUUGAUCCUCUAUUUCUCGUCCGAUAUAAAACAGGAUAGACAGGGAUAAAAGGGGAUGUAUUUUCAUUAACCGGGAUAAAAGGGAGGAUAUCGAUCUCUGUUUAUUAUGAUCUUCUAAUUAUCGUCCGAUAUAAAACAGAAUGGACAGGGAUAAAACGGGAUGUAUUGAUAUUAACCGGGAUAAAAGGGAGGAUAUGGAUCUUUGUUCAUCGAUCUUCGAUAGAUCGUUCAACAUGAAACAGGAUAGACAGCGAUAAAACGGGAUAUAUUUUCAUUAACCGGAAUAAAAGGGAGGAUAUCGAUCUCUGUUUAUUGAUCUUCUAUUUAUCGUUCGAUAUAAAACAGGAUAGACAGGGAUAGAAGGGGAUGUAUUUUCAUUAACCGGGAUAAAAGGGAGGAUAUACCGAUCCCGUUCUAAUUAUCGUCCGAUAUUAAACAGGAUAGACAGGGAUAAAACGGGAUGCAUUGAUAUUAACCGGGAUAAGAGGGAGGAUACAGAUAUUUGUUCAUCGAUCUUCGAUAUAUCGUUCGAUAUAAUUUUCUAAAAAAAGGAGGAGAACCCAGAAUAACGUCAGGGUAAUGUGCGAUGUUGUGCCCACGUUCGGGGAGCAGACACCGCGGCGCGACCCGGAUCAAGGCUCUGGGAAAGUUGCAAGAGUCACGUUUUGAUGUCUUCCCACAUAAUAACGGAGCCACUUGCCUCCUCCGCCGACAGCCGUAACUCGCCCCCUUGUCCCGUAUGUCCCGUGCAUUGUGUGCAUGUU
RNAcentral lists this long non-coding RNA (2850 nucleotides) under Bemisia tabaci. RNAcentral's name for it is "lncRNA ENSSSA1NGG010527". Lineage: Eukaryota; Metazoa; Arthropoda; Insecta; Hemiptera; Aleyrodidae. The record is from RNAcentral.